CUUAGCGCUAAGAUCGCUUUGUUGAACAGGGCCCUGAACGUUUCCCCUAUUGUAUACACGAGUGUGGUACUUGCAGCUCAGAAAUGUCCUCGAAAACAAAAGUAUAAUGAAUUAAAAUUAAAAUAUAAUUAUCUUAAUUACUUCAUCACAUAUUUGUGAAAUGCAUUGUUUUUUGUUAUUAAGUCCAAAAGUAGUAUUCAUGUGAUUCUCGGCGAUAAAGUCAUAUAAUGUAGGUUAAUCCUUUUAUGAUAGCUGUAAGAACAUACUGAUAUUUACUGUGAAUCAGUGUAAAGAGAUUAGUUAAGACAUCUUUCGAUGCAAUAAUUAUAUUUCCAUGUUAAUUUCCAUCUCUCAACUAUGGAAUACUGUAAGGGUAAUCAGCGUUCCUGAGAUUUUUUAAUCAAGCACGUUUUACAUUGAAACCGGUUCCCAAAAGUUGAGAUUUUAAACACGCGAAAAGGGGAACAUGAUCCUUGCAGUACUCCAUACUGAGCAAAGUUAAAUGUUAACAAAACAAAAUAAGACCUUCUUUAAACAACUAUGUCGAUAAUCUGACAGAGUAAAGUGUUGAUUUCCAUGUCUAUACAAUAAUAAACGACCAAAAAGAUCUGUCAUAAUAAUUUCUCUUCCCCAGCCAUCUGCAUUCCGCCUUGCCUCCAUGGUGGCAAGUGUAAAAGGUUUAACGUGUGUAAAUGUGGAUACGGUUACACAGGGGAGAGGUGUGAACGAGCUUCCUGUCGCCCUAAGUGUAUGAACGGAGCGAAGUGUGUGGGUCCGGACCGGUGCUCCUGUCCCUCAGGAUGGUCAGGAAGGAGAUGUGACAAAGCUGUGUGUCAUCUGUCGUGCCAGAAUGGAGGAGUGUGCUUCAAGCCAGACAUCUGCGUCUGUAGGCGGGGGUACGCCGGGGCCAGCUGCCAGAAACCGUUAUGUUGGCCCCGAUGUCGUCACGGGGGUCGGUGCAUUGCCCCGCAGACAUGUCGCUGUAGACGGGGUUUCAGAGGACGUUUCUGUCAGCGGAGACUAAGAUGGGGAUGAGGACAGAAAAAACGCACCUGCCUAGCUACUUCUAUUACUACAGAUAACCUCACGUGAUGACGUAGCAAGAUGAAGUAACCUUGCAUGUCAUUGGUCGAAAAAUCUUCAGAGCACCAAUCGCAGUUGAAGUUGCUUGGGCGCGUCAUUUGAAAAUGGCGUUCUACUAAUUUCAAAGACACGCGACGUUCCAGACCUGUCUUGUACUAAUGCUAAUUACAAACCAUGUUCCGAUUCUGUGUAUAUUUGGCACCAAACUCAAGUGCCCCUUUUUUGCUGAUAAUCCUUAAGGUGCUAUACAUGUAUGUUCAGACAGUAUUAGAUAGUGUGUCGCCUCUGUGUUAGUAUUUAGUUAUCAGGACGUAGAUCUGUGAACAUUAUGCUUGCGCUGUUAAUAUGUAUAUAAGAACUUCAAUCUAUUUGUAUGUUUCGUAAUAUUGCAUGUACAUUCAAAAGAAGGGAGCGGGUGGUCCAGUCGUCUACGGCGCCGCAAUUCACAUGCAAAGUUACCUCCCUUUCGCUUAUGACGAUCCUAUCAAGGAUCGUGCCUUCGAGUUUCAGAUUCGCCUCAUUUAUAUUCCCUUGUUACAACACAGUACCCGUGAUUGGUUCGAAAAAUCGGUUUUCGACAAUCUGCGUCUCUUUGGGCUUUACUUCAUCAUGAACUGGUACAUCGUGAUACUAGUGAAAUACUGUUCAAAGCGGCUUUGUUAUAUGGGAUGAGACACUGUGUCCAGCAAAUAUGUAGUCCUAUUUGGGGUGUCUUUUGAGACAUUAGGCUUGUAAAGGUUAACAGUGCUCAGUCAUUCCAUCCUUUUCAGGUUGUAAACGAAUUCCUUGAAGUGGCACUAGGAUCGUACCACCUGGUAGUCUUUAGUGUCAUUGAAAGGUUUAUCACAAUCCGGAGACAAGUGUUCUUGUCGUCUAAGACGCAGCGAUUCACUGUUCAGACGUCCGUGCCAAGUUCGAAUUCAAGAUCCAAUCAGAUUAUGUUUCUUGGUUACCGUGCACGUGGGUUUCACAAAAGUGGUAAAUGUCUGAGACCUGCAUCAUUUCGGACUUUCCCCUCACAUUAAGCUGGCACGCUGUCAUACAGCUGAAAUACUGUUCAAUGCGGCAUUAAACCAAACUCCCUUAGGAAUAUCCUAAUGACACGGAGACGAUGUACCAGGACCGCACAAUUAGUUCAAAGAAACUGGCAAUGAGCAAAACACUUUGGAGCCUAGUACCUCUUUGAUUGUUUCCUGUGUAACCUCAUUUAUUAGUCUUACAGCUAAUAUUGACAUUAAAAUGCGUAUGCUCCAGUGCUUUUUGUACCAUAAUCAUAAUGUCAUUCAUCUGUCUUCUGUGUCAUUCCUGUUCACGUGUCCAUAGUCUACUUCAGGCCUUUACAACAGUACCAGCAACCCUAGCUGCAACCAUGUGGAUCGUCUUCAAUGAAGCUUGGUUGGCCCAGUGGGCACGGUGUUCGCUGUGCAGAGCUGCGUCCUCUAAGUGUUAGGACUCGCUGAUCGUGGGUUUGAAUCUCAUGUUCUUCCCGAUCGUUGGUCUGUCAGCUCCCUACCGGUGCCCGUUUAUUUCCCCAAAGGGGUAAACGACAACGGUCUGUGCUUGCGUCCAAGCUUACAUGCCGUGAUAUAACUGAAACACUGUUUAAGUCGGACCUGAACCAACUCACUCACUCAUCCAGCUUCUGAUAUGAAUGUAAUGACACCUCAGCAUAGGGCUAAAAACAGAAUGUGACUUGAACAUCGUAACGGUGAGCCUCCAUGUCUUGUUUUGUAUACGGUCAGGGAAUUUGCGGUGUUUUAUUCGCGUUAUGAUAUUACUCAUUCAAUUAUAAUAAUUAUGCAUUAAAUUUAGUUAUUAGUGCCGAUAUUGUGCAUCUUGAUGCUUGAAAAUAGACUCACCGAUGACGUUGAAAUAAUCGCAUACUAAGAAACAUUUUGUGAGUUCUUCUCAGAUUGUUUUUUGUUCUCAGAUUAUGUUUUUAGCUCUGGAGCUGUCUGAUGCACUUUUCAUCAAAUUCAACCUUUAAAAAUGAAUCCCAAUAAAACACACUAAUCUAAGCAAUCUAGAGAACAUUUGUUUCGGACAGUAGUGUAUCUGCUCAAAACGUUCAGAACUUUAUCUAAAAUAUCGAUGUUUAAUUUCCUUAGUUUUAUGAUUGUAAAUAUCAGUUAUUUUGAGUCCUGUUCCUUGUCCCUUGCUCCAGACUGUUACAAGCCAUUUCACGGUCAGGUAAAACGGAUACAUGUUACUUUGUUAGACAUAUUAAUGACAAGCUAAGCUGCUGAUUUGCAUAAUGGCAUACACGCAAGUAGGCCUUGUCCAAUGUUUUACAUGACUUUGUUUAAAAAACAUACUUGUGUUAGAAGUAUUAGGAGUCUAAUAAAGCGUUAUUUCUUGACACCCAGUGUGUAUAUCUGCAUUCACACACUUGUAAAUUGACAAAAAGUCCUUAAUUUAUAUAUGUGAUUAAAUUUAUCUUUAUCGA
RNAcentral lists this unclassified non-coding RNA (3529 nucleotides) under Haliotis rufescens (red abalone). Its description in RNAcentral is "wnt inhibitory factor 1-like, transcript variant X1". Lineage: Eukaryota; Metazoa; Mollusca; Gastropoda; Lepetellida; Haliotidae. The record is from RNAcentral.